This 460-nucleotide ribosomal RNA is filed under the name uncultured bacterium. RNAcentral describes it as "partial 16S ribosomal RNA". It matches the Rfam family "Bacterial small subunit ribosomal RNA", at positions 338 to 795 of the family's 1533-position model. The record is from RNAcentral.
CCUACGGGAGGCAGCAGUGAGGAAUAUUGGUCAAUGGACGAGAGUCUGAACCAGCCAAGUAGCGUGAAGGAUGACUGCCCUAUGGGUUGUAAACUUCUUUUAUAUGGGAAAAAAACGUUCCACGUGUGGGAUUUUGUAUGUACCAUAUGAAUAAGGAUCGGCUAACCCCGUGCCAGCAGCCGCGGUAAUACGGAGGAGCCGAGCGUUAUCCGGAUUUAUUGGGCUUAAAGGGAGCGUAGGUGGAUGGUUAAGUCAGUUGUGAAAGUUUGCGGCUCAACCCUAGAAUUGCAGUUGAAACUGGCAGUCUUGAGUACAGUAGAGGUGGGCGGAAUUCGAGGUGUAGCGGUGAAAUGCUUAGAGAUCACGAAGAACUCCGAUUGCGAAGGCAGUUCACUGGACUGCAACUGACACUGAGGCUCGAAAGUGUGGGUAUCAAACAGGAUUAGAUACCCGGGUAGUC